ACUACGGUGUUAAUCAUUACUCUGCUCACGCUUAUUUAAUAAGCGACUAUUAACUUAGAAAUAACAUAAAUCCUCUUUUCCUCUUCUUAAAAGAACCUGAUUUUGAAAUAAUCUAAUGUCUAAUUUAUGCAUAAAUACAUAGGGUAAUAGCAUAAAUUAAUUAAUUAAUCCAAAUCAACAUACUAAUAAGUUCAGUUCGUCCAAGACUUAAAACCCAAUAAUAGGAACCCAACAUAAUUUCCUUUUAGUUAAAACAAAGCCCAAAAUUAGGCCCACUAGUAAAAUGAUCCUAAACCAAAUUCACUUUUCCUUCUCUUACGUGUUUGACUUCUCAAAUACUUCUCAUUCUUAAUUUCUUUCUUCUCUCUACGAAGACACCAGAACUCCCUUUCUCCAAAACUGCUCCCUUCCUCUUCUCUUGGCAGGAAGUCGCCGGUCCUCGCCGCCUCCGGUGCGGUGAGAUCGGCCCCUCUCUUUUCCUUCUCUUUUUCCUACUUCUAAAUCCCUAAGUUUUCUGCCUCCCUUCUUCCCCCUGAAAUUCGCCCCUCCGGCGAGUCUGAGUCCCGCCGCCACUACCGCCGUCUCCGUCGCACCGCUACCCCUGCCUCAGGAAUUGUUGAUUCGAGUCCGGCGAGGCAGUCCGUCUCUUGAUAGUGCAGCUCAAGUUUCUAUUUUUUUCUUAUUCUGUAAAUUAUUCUCUUUUGUUGAUUUACCGAUAAAUCGAUAUUUGAUGGGGAAAAAACAUACUCCUAUUGUUUUGUAGAAAUUAGAGUUAGGGACUGUUGCAACUAUGCUUGUAUCUACUUGUGAAGGUUAUUAUUCUGUACAUAAAUAUUGAAUUGUACUGUAUGAAAAGGAAUACUACCUGCUUGAUGAAUUGAUUUGCUGUGAAAGCUUGUUGGAA
Salvia miltiorrhiza (redroot sage) is the source of this 904-nucleotide long non-coding RNA. RefSeq lists it as uncharacterized. The transcript has 2 exons. The record is from RefSeq and is a predicted model, not a curated record. Lineage: Eukaryota; Viridiplantae; Streptophyta; Magnoliopsida; Lamiales; Lamiaceae.